UACGAAAGUUGGGGCUCAGAUCCCCUCUCCGAGCUCAGGGUAACUUUUGAAGUGGAAGGGAC
Molecule: non-coding RNA, 62 nt
Filed under: Marmota monax (woodchuck)
Lineage: Eukaryota; Metazoa; Chordata; Mammalia; Rodentia; Sciuridae
Source: RNAcentral